AUGCCAGCUGAGGCACAUACCUUCGGAGCUAAGUGGUUGCUGCACUUGACCACUAUGAAGACUGGUGUAGGAAGGGUCAUUUUGGAUGCACUUCAGCAGGGGUCCCCAACCCUGAGCCAUGGAGCCGUAAGGAGCCACACAGCAGGAGGUGGGACCAUCCAGUUGCAGGAAAACAAGCUUAACACGCCCACUGAUUCUACAUUAUGCUCCUACCUCCCAGCAGCCUCGCCAGGCCCAGAACUUUCUCCAGUCAGCCUCCACAGACCAAGCUCAUGACUCACAAUGGCCUAUUUAGGCCCAUACCCUACCUCACAGCAGUCUCCGCAGAUGAGGCUACUGCCUCACAACAGCCUCCACAGGCACAGCUCCACCGUUACAAUGGCCUCUUUAGACCCAGCUCCUGCCUCCCAGCCUUCUCUCCAGGCCCUGAACUUUCUCAAGUCGACCUCACCAGGCCCAGCUCAUGCUUCUUGGCAGCCUCUCCAGGCCCAGCUCCUGCAUCUUGGCGGCCUCUCCAGGCCCAGCCUCUGCCUCCCGUCGGCCUCUACAGUCCCAACAUCU
Molecule: long non-coding RNA, 561 nt
Organism: Homo sapiens (human)
Lineage: Eukaryota; Metazoa; Chordata; Mammalia; Primates; Hominidae
Exons: 3
Source: RefSeq, marked validated